AAUCAACGCUGGCGGCGUGCCUAACACAUGCAAGUCGAACGCGAAAGUCCCGCAAGGGAUUAGUAGAGUGGCAAACGGGUGAGUAACACGUGGGUGACCUGCCUUCGAGCGGGGGAUAACGUUCCGAAAGGAACGCUAAUACCGCAUAACAUCCUGCCUUUUAAGAGGCGGUGAUCAAAGCCGGGGAUUCGCAAGAACCUGGCACUUGAAGAGGGGCCCGCGCCUGAUUAGCUAGUGUGGGGAAUGGCCUACCAAGGCAACGAUCAGUAUCCGGCCUGAGAGGGCGGACGGACACACUGGGACUGAGACACGGCCCAGGACUCCUACGGGAGGCAGCAGUGGGGAAUUGUUCGCAAUGGGCGCAAGCCUGACGACGCAACGCCGCGUGGA
Molecule: ribosomal RNA, 390 nt
Filed under: uncultured bacterium
Lineage: Bacteria
Description: bacterial SSU rRNA
Rfam family: Bacterial small subunit ribosomal RNA
Source: RNAcentral